GUACCUACGGGAGGCUGCAGUAGGGAAUAUUGCACAAUGGGCGAAAGCCUGAUGCAGCAACGCCGCGUGUGCGAUGAAGGCCUUCGGGUUGUAAAGCACUUUUCGGGGAGAUGAGGAAGGACAGUAUCCCCGGAAUAAGUCUCGGCUAACUACGUGCCAGCAGCCGCGGUAACACGUAGGAGGCAAGCGUUAUCCGAAUUUACUGGGCGUAAAGCGCGUGCAGGCGGUUCGGUAAGUUGGAUGUGAAAUCUCCUGGCUCAACUGGGAGAGGUCGUUCAAUACUGUCGGACUAGAGGAUGGUAGAGGGAGGUGGAAUUCCCGGUGUAGUGGUGAAAUGCGUAGAUAUCGGGAGGAACACCAGUGGCGAAAGCGGCCUCCUGGACCAUUCCUGACGCUCAGACGCGAAAGCUAGGGGAGCGAACGGGAUUAGAUACCCCUGUAGUC
This 444-nucleotide ribosomal RNA is filed under the name uncultured bacterium. Its description in RNAcentral is "bacterial SSU rRNA". It matches the Rfam family "Bacterial small subunit ribosomal RNA", at positions 335 to 795 of the family's 1533-position model. The record is from RNAcentral.